Molecule: ribosomal RNA, 649 nt
Filed under: Planomicrobium sp.
Lineage: Bacteria; Bacillati; Bacillota; Bacilli; Caryophanales; Caryophanaceae
Description: bacterial SSU rRNA
Rfam family: Bacterial small subunit ribosomal RNA
Source: RNAcentral
CCGAAUAGUUUUGGGUCCCUCCUGGGACCUAACGGAAAGACGGUUUCGGCUGUCACUGCAGGAUGGGCCCGCGGCGCAUUAGCUAGUUGGUGGGGUAACGGCCCACCAAGGCGACGAUGCGUACCCGACCUGAGAGGGUGAUCGGCCACUCUGGGACUGACACACGGCCCAGACUCCUACGGGAGGCAGCAGUAGGGAAUCUUCCGCAAUGGACGCAAGUCUGACAGACAACCCCGCGUGAGUGAUGAAGGUUUUCGGAUCGUAAAACUCUGUUGCGAGGGAAAAAACCGUGCCAACUAACUAUUGGCACCUUGACGGUACCUCGCCAGAAGCCACGGCUAUCUACGUGCCAGCAGCCGCGGUAAUACGUAGGUGGCAAGCGUUGUCCGGAAUUAUUGGGCGUAAAGCGCGCGCAGGCGGUCCCUUUAAGUCUGAUGUGAAACCCCACGGCUCCACCGUGGAGGGUCAUUGGAAAACUGGGGGGAACUUGAGUGCAGAAAAGGAAAGUGUAAUUCCCCGUGUAAGCGGAGAAAUGCGUAAAGAUGUGGGAGAAAACCCCUGGUGGAAAAGGCGUAUUUUCUGGUCUGUAACUGAACGCUGAGGCGAAAAAGCGGUGGGGAGGCCAACCGAGAAUUAACAUACCCCUUGG